AUAACGGCGAAGAAUGGAAAAGUAGGCUGAUGCGCCUGUUUUAGAGAGGGAACCCGAGGCUGGAAGGUUUCUCUGUGUGCAAGCUGAAGGUCAUCCAGGAGCCGCCCCGCUGAACCGAUUUAGUAGGCGUGGCCGGAUUGCCCCGUUACGGCAGAGCAAGUGUUCGGUUUUGGCCGAAAAUCAAGGUGGUACCGCGGAAGUUAAUUCUUUUCGUCCUUAUA
Non-coding RNA from Sporomusa sphaeroides DSM 2875, 221 nucleotides. Lineage: Bacteria; Bacillati; Bacillota; Negativicutes; Selenomonadales; Sporomusaceae. The record is from Rfam.